RNAcentral lists this ribosomal RNA (59 nucleotides) under Penicillium sp. 3356. RNAcentral describes it as "partial 28S ribosomal RNA". The record is from RNAcentral. Lineage: Eukaryota; Fungi; Ascomycota; Eurotiomycetes; Eurotiales; Aspergillaceae.
ACCUCGGAUCAGGUAGGGAUACCCGCUGAACUUAAGCAUAUCAAUAAGCGGAGGAAUGA